Long non-coding RNA from Numida meleagris (helmeted guineafowl), 2376 nucleotides. RefSeq lists it as uncharacterized. Lineage: Eukaryota; Metazoa; Chordata; Aves; Galliformes; Numididae. The record is from RefSeq and is a predicted model, not a curated record. The transcript has 2 exons.
ACACAUGAUAGGAUUUCAGCAAGUGAUUUAAUAGUGUAGAAUACUAAAAAAAAAAUCAUUUGCUGAACAAUACUGUGAUAACAUAUUAAGAAAUGAAAAAAAUGUUUCUUUUGAGAAAGGUGUUAACAGGUCUGAAAGUAGGGAUACCAUUUUUCUAAGAAAAGAGCAGAAACAGAAUUGAAAAACUACUAAAAUGCAAUUCUGAAGAGGAAUAUAUACUUUUGUAUUAAAAAUAGUUAAGUCUGCAGUAAACCCAGAGUGAUUAAAAAGUUAAAACAUAGUCACUCUCGGGUAAUUGAAAAUGAGAAAUAUUUAAAGCAAACCUUACAGUUUGCAUUAGCUAAGAAUUUGUGCUCCUGCUUUUAUCAGGGAAUUUAGAUCUUGAACACUAUUUUUAACAUUUUUGGUGCAAAUAAAAGCACUUUUUGAAAUCUCAUGUAGCUAUGGAAAAGUUCUGAAGAGCUGUAGCUCUUCCUUAUUUGCAUAAGAGUAUAGGUCACCCCAAUGCAGAAGGCGGGGGGAGUCCCAGGCAAGCUGACUGUUUCCCACAUGGAAAAACCAUGACAUCAUCAAAGCUGAGUGGAUGUAAAACAGGAAGUUAAAAAAUAAAAAUAUUUUUUUUAAGAAAAAAAUCAUGUUUCACAACGUUACAAUAAGCUCAGAAGAUAAACCCUAGCAGUAGGCUCUGCCUGUCCUUCUCUGGAACCAGCAACAUCCCUUCCUUUGAAACACCACAGAAGUUCUUUACUUUGGUUAUGCCUGAAGAUCUCCUUGAUCUACCUCCCUGCCACAGCUCUCAAGAACAGUCCUACAUUUCCCUGCUCUGAACAAAACUAGCCAAGUUUAAUUCCCCUAAAGCACCUUGCUUGUGCCUUGUGCCCAAUACGCUCUGUUCAGAGAUUCCCAAAUUCCCUGCAAUCAGACUCCACUUCCAGAACUUUCACUGACUGGAAGAAUGCAUAAGCUUCUCUUUGAACUUGACACGGUGACCCAAAAAUGAAAAUGAAACACACCAGCAUGUCAUAGCUCAGUAAAUCACUUGGGUUUCAUAUACGACUACCGACACCGGAGAUCUGUACUUCACAAUCCUUUUUCUAGAUACUACUCUUUCAGGGCUUGACCACAGCACACAGCUCAGUUCUUCUUCUUUCCUGAAUAUGCAUUUUAUCCUGCUAAUUCAGUUUGAAGCACACUUCAAGCCCACAAACAGGCCUGGCCCCGAGUUACAGCCCCAAACUGCCAUCUGAAAGGCCCAGACUCUGCAGCAAUUCACCUUAAGUCACAGACAUCAGCUGAGCACGCAUAUGGAACUGGCCUCACGGAAGCUGUAUCCAGCUAUGCAAGGACCGAGAGCCUUUACACCGUCUCCUUCAACCACUGCGAAUGAAACCUCGUGGGCAGAGAAACUAGACUUUUAAGUGCCCCAUAAUUCUCAGAUUAUAAGUGUUUUCUAAAAGGUGAGCCACAACAGUGGAAGCGCCAAUUUAAGCACUGUCAAGCAGAGGACCAGGUCAGAGAAGAAACAAUCGAGAACCUCAGGAAGCCUGCACAUCAACACUAGCUGACAGGAAGCAAGCACGAUAACAAGAAGAGAGGGAGAACUAGGAAGAGAGGAAAAAAAACCGAAACACAUUAAAAAAACUGAACAUUGAAUUUAUGAUAUCAUCCACGUAGAGAGCAUGUGAACUAGGAAGUAAAAAUCUUAGUGUACAGGCAGUCACAUGAGCUCCAACACUGAUACUCUGGUCUGAUGUUUGGGGCAGAGGGAGCUCUGAUCAAGUGCAGGCAGCAGCACAAAGAUCAUCCGUCAACAAGCAAUACAGAAGAUUUUGUUCAACUAGAACUACGCAGGGAACUUUAAAUGCUCAGCAAAUCAAGAGCCAGAACCACUACCAAGAGAGGACAUCUCCUGCUCACUUGUAUUGUAUGAGGCUGUUCUCCAACACAGACUUGAAGAGAAUGUGAAGACUGAGUCACCGGCCACAAAAACGAAAAUGCCUUGAAACAUCCAGAUCCAAUUACGGAUCACACUGUUCUUUCAUCUUAAAGCAACCAAUGAUUUGUUAAAAAAAGUGUACCAAAUACUGGAAACAAUUCAGAAAGAAUAUUUAGAGCUUCUUCCCAGCUUGAAAUUCAAGAUCCUGAUGAACUGAAGCUCACCGCCUUGUAUUAUCAGUAAAGGGAAAGCAGCCUGGAUACUGGUUUGUAAGAAAUAAAUAGGCUAAUAAUCUAAAGAUAUUCAUAAAAAUUAAUGGAUUCCAUGACUUCAAACAGUCGUGAAUGCCUUAAAUGAAAUAGAAACACAGCGUUAUGUCAAAGAAAAUGAUUUGAUACAUGCAUAUUACAGACAUGAAAUAAAUAAGUAUUUGCAAAGCA